This 497-nucleotide ribosomal RNA is filed under the name uncultured bacterium. RNAcentral's name for it is "partial 16S ribosomal RNA". It matches the Rfam family "Bacterial small subunit ribosomal RNA", at positions 28 to 507 of the family's 1533-position model. The record is from RNAcentral.
GAUGAACGCUGGCGGCGUGCCUAAUACAUGCAAGUCGAGCGAACAGACGAGGAGCUUGCUCGUCUGACGUUAGCGGCGGACGGGUGAGUAACACGUGGAUAACCUACCUAUAAGACUGGGAUAACUUCGGGAAACCGGAGCUAAUACCGGAUAAUAUAUUGAACCGCAUGGUUCAAUAGUGAAAGACGGUUUUGCUGUCACGUAUAGAUGGAUCCGCGCGGCAUUAGCUAGUUGGUAAGGUAACGGCUUACCAAGGCAACGAUGCGUAGCCGACCUGAGAGGGUGGUCGGCCAGCCUGGCACUGAGGCACAGUCCCGACUCCUACGGUAGGCAGCAGUAGGGAAUCUUCCGCAAUGGGGGAGUGCCUGACGGAGCAACGCCGCGUGAGUGCUGAAGGUCUUAGGAUCGUAAAGCUCUGUUAUUAGUGAAGAACAAAUGUGUAAGUAACUAUGCACGUCUUGACGGUACCUGAUCAGAAAGCCACGGCUAACUACGUG